This 253-nucleotide ribosomal RNA is filed under the name uncultured bacterium. RNAcentral describes it as "partial 16S ribosomal RNA". It matches the Rfam family "Bacterial small subunit ribosomal RNA", at positions 524 to 776 of the family's 1533-position model. The record is from RNAcentral.
UACGAAGGGGGCUAGCGUUGCUCGGAAUCACUGGGCGUAGAGCGCACGUAGGCGGAUUGCUAAGUCAGGGGUGAAAUCCUGGAGCUCAACUCCAGAACUGCCUUUGAUACUGGUGAUCUUGAGUUCGGGAGAGGUGAGUGGAACUGCGAGUGUAGAGGUGAAAUUCGUAGAUAUUCGCAAGAACACCAGUGGCGAAGGCGGCUCACUGGCCCGAUACUGACGCUGAGGCACGAAAGCGUGGGGAGCAAACAGG